UACGUAGGGUGCAAGCGUUGUCCGGAAUUUUUGGGCGUAAAGAGCUCGUAGGCGGUCUGUCGCGUCUGCUGUGAAAACUCGGGGCUUAACCCCGGGCCUGCAGUGGGUACGGGCAGACUAGAGUGCGGUAGGGGAGACUGGAAUUCCUGGUGUAGCGGUGAAAUGCGCAGAUAUCAGGAGGAACACCGGUGGCGAAGGCGGGUCUCUGGGCCGUAACUGACGCUGAGGAGCGAAAGCAUGGGGAGCGAACAGG
RNAcentral lists this ribosomal RNA (253 nucleotides) under uncultured bacterium. Its description in RNAcentral is "partial 16S ribosomal RNA". It matches the Rfam family "Bacterial small subunit ribosomal RNA", at positions 524 to 776 of the family's 1533-position model. The record is from RNAcentral.